GAUGAAGAACGCAGCGAAAUGCGAUACGUAAUGUGAAUUGCAGAAUUCAGUGAAUCAUGGAAUCUUUGAACGCACAUUGCGCCCGCUAGUAUUCUGGCGGGCAUGCCUGUCCGAGCGUCAUUUCAACCCAUCAAGCUUAGCGCUUGUGUUGGAGCCCUGCGGCCGCCGCAGCCUCCUAAAAUCAGUGGCGGGCUCGCUAUCACGCUGAGUGCAGUAGUAUUCUUCUCACUCCUGUGGUGUAGCGGGUAACCAGCCGUAAACCCCCCCAUCUAUAAAGGUUGACCUCGGAUCAGGUAGGAAUACCCGCUGAACUUAAGCAUAUCAAUAAGCGGAGGA
RNAcentral lists this unclassified non-coding RNA (336 nucleotides) under soil metagenome. RNAcentral's name for it is "partial contains 5.8S ribosomal RNA, internal transcribed spacer 2, and large subunit ribosomal RNA". The stretch from base 1 to 120 matches the Rfam family "5.8S ribosomal RNA", at positions 35 to 154 of the family's 154-position model. The record is from RNAcentral.